Haemonchus contortus (barber pole worm) is the source of this 75-nucleotide non-coding RNA. NCBI's taxonomy places the organism in Eukaryota, Metazoa, Nematoda, Chromadorea, Rhabditida, Trichostrongylidae. The record is from Rfam.
GGCCCAAAUUUGAAGUAGAGUAGAUCCGAAGGAUCAUCUGACUCUACUAAACUACUCUACUUUGAAUUUGUGCCC